GACGAACGCUGGCGGCGUGCUUAACACAUGCAAGUCGAACGGAAAGGCCCUGCUUUUGUGGGGUGCUCGAGUGGCGAACGGGUGAGUAACACGUGAGUAACCUGCCCUUGACUUUGGGAUAACUUCAUGAAACUGGGGCUAAUACCGGAUAGGAGCUCCUGCUGCAUGGUGGGGGUUGGAUAGUUUCGGCGGUUGGGGAUGGACUCGCGGCUUAUCAGCUUGUUGGUGGGGUAGUGGCUUACCAAGGCUUUGACGGGUAGCCGGCCUGAGAGGGUGACCGGCCAAAUUGGGACUGAGAUACGGCCCAGACUACUACGGGAGGCAGCAGUGGGGAAUAGUGCACAAUGGGCGGAAGCCUGAUGCAGCAACGCAGCGUGCGGGAUGACGGCCUUCGGGUUGUAAACCGCUUUCGCCUGUGACGAAGCGUGAGUGACGGUAAUGGGUAAAGAAGCACCGGCUAACUACGUG
RNAcentral lists this ribosomal RNA (468 nucleotides) under uncultured bacterium. RNAcentral's name for it is "partial 16S ribosomal RNA". It matches the Rfam family "Bacterial small subunit ribosomal RNA", at positions 28 to 507 of the family's 1533-position model. The record is from RNAcentral.